AUUGAACGCUGGCGGCAGGCCUAACACAUGCAAGUCGAGCGCGAAAGUCUUCGGAUGAGUAAAGCGGCGGACGGGUGAGUAAUGCAUGGGAAUCUGCCUGGUAGUGGGGGACAACGUUUCGAAAGAGACGCUAAUACCGCAUACGCCCUACGGGGAAAGGGGGGGAGCUUCGGACCUCUCGCUAUCAGAUGAGCCCAUGUCAGAUUAGCUAGUUGGGAGGGUAAAGGCCUACCAAGGCGACGAUCUGUAACUGGUCUGAGAGGAUGAUCAGUCACACUGGAACUGAGACACGGUCCAGACUCCUACGGGAGGCAGCAGUGGGGAAUAUUGGACAAUGGGGGCAACCCUGAUCCAGCCAUGCCGCGUGUGUGAAGAAGGCCCUAGGGUUGUAAAGCACUUUCAGUGGGGAGAAAGGUAAUUUACCUAAUACGUAAGUUAAUUGAUGCUACCCACAGAAGAAGCACCGGCUAACUCCGUGCCAGCCGCCGCGGUAA
RNAcentral lists this ribosomal RNA (494 nucleotides) under uncultured bacterium. Its description in RNAcentral is "partial 16S ribosomal RNA". It matches the Rfam family "Bacterial small subunit ribosomal RNA", at positions 30 to 523 of the family's 1533-position model. The record is from RNAcentral.